RNAcentral lists this ribosomal RNA (439 nucleotides) under uncultured bacterium. RNAcentral describes it as "partial 16S ribosomal RNA". It matches the Rfam family "Bacterial small subunit ribosomal RNA", at positions 339 to 795 of the family's 1533-position model. The record is from RNAcentral.
CUACGGGCGGCAGCAGUGAGGAAUAUUGCACAAUGGGGGGAACCCUGAUGCAGCAACGCCGCGUGGAGGAUGACGCAUUUCGGUGUGUAAACUCCUUUUAUAUGUCAAGAAAAUGACGGUAGCAUAUGAAUAAGCACCGGCUAACUCCGUGCCAGCAGCCGCGGUAAUACGGAGGGUGCAAGCGUUACUCGGAAUCACUGGGCGUAAAGGACGCGUAGGCGGGCUUGUAAGUCAGGUGUGAAAUCCUACAGCUUAACUGUAGAACUGCACUUGAAACUACGAGCCUAGAGUAUGGGAGGGGGAGAUGGAAUUAGUGGUGUAGGGGUAAAAUCCGUAGAUAUCACUAGGAAUACCUAAAGCGAAGGCGAUCUCCUGGAACAUAACUGACGCUAAGGCGUGAAAGCGUGGGGAGCAAACAGGAUUAGAUACCCCAGUAGUC